RNAcentral lists this ribosomal RNA (479 nucleotides) under uncultured bacterium. RNAcentral describes it as "partial 16S ribosomal RNA". It matches the Rfam family "Bacterial small subunit ribosomal RNA", at positions 28 to 507 of the family's 1533-position model. The record is from RNAcentral.
GAUGAACGCUGGCGGCGUGCUUAACACAUGCAAGUCGAGCGGGAAGGUUUGAAAAGAUUCUUCGGAUGAAAUGUAAAAUGGAAAGCUGCGGACGGGUGAGUAACGCGUAGGCAACGUGCUCCAUACAAAGGGAUAGCAUUUGUAAACGAAUAUUAAUACCGUAUGAAACUGAAGUAGUGCAAGCUAGGUAGGUCGGAGAUUUAUCGGGUAGGGAUGGGCCUGCGUCUGAUUAGCUGGUUGGUGAGGGAACGGCUCACUAAGGGGACGAUCAGUAGCCGAACUGGGAGGGUGGACGGCCUGGGUGGAACUGAGACCCGGGACACAUUCGUGCGGGAGAAAGCAGGAGGGAAUAAUGCACAACGGAAGACUGACUGAUGAAGCAACGCUGCGUGAACGAGGACGUCCGUUGGGAAGCCACUUUCGGUUCUAGGUGAGGAAAACUGACAGUAACCUAGAAGAAAGCCCCGGCUAACUCCGUG